RNAcentral lists this ribosomal RNA (468 nucleotides) under uncultured bacterium. Its description in RNAcentral is "partial 16S ribosomal RNA". It matches the Rfam family "Bacterial small subunit ribosomal RNA", at positions 28 to 507 of the family's 1533-position model. The record is from RNAcentral.
GACGAACGCUGGCGGCGUGCUUAACACAUGCAAGUCGAACGGAAGGGCCCUGCUUUUGUGGGGUGCUCGAGUGGCGAACGGGUGAGUAACACGUGAGUAACCUGCCCUUGACUUUGGGAUAACUUCAGGAAACUGGGGCUAAUCCCGGAUCGGAGCUCCUGCUGCAUGGUGGGGGUUGGAACGUCUCGGCGGUUGGGGAUGGACUCGCGGCUUAUCAGCUUGUUGGUGGGGUAGUGGCUUACCCAGGCUUUGACGGGUCGCCGGCCUGAGAGGGUGACCGGCCACAUUGGGACUGAGAUACGGCCCAGACUCCUACGGGAGGCAGCAGUGGGGAAUAUUGCACAAUGGGCGGAAGCCUGAUGCAGCAACGCCGCGUGCGGGAUGACGGCCUUCGGGUUGUAAACCGCUUUCGCCUGUGACGAAGCGUGAGUGACGGUAAUGGGUAAAGAAGCACCGGCUAACUACGUG